RNAcentral lists this transfer RNA (75 nucleotides) under Candidatus Babeliales bacterium. Its description in RNAcentral is "tRNA-Thr". It matches the Rfam family "tRNA". From Rfam's summary of the family: Transfer RNA (tRNA) molecules are approximately 80 nucleotides in length. Their secondary structure includes four short double-helical elements and three loops (D, anti-codon, and T loops). Further hydrogen bonds mediate the characteristic L-shaped molecular structure. tRNAs have two regions of fundamental functional importance: the anti-codon, which is responsible for specific mRNA codon recognition, and the 3' end, to which the tRNAs corresponding amino acid is attached (by aminoacyl-tRNA synthetases). tRNAs cope with the degeneracy of the genetic code in two manners: having more than one tRNA (with a specific anti-codon) for a particular amino acid; and 'wobble' base-pairing, i.e. permitting non-standard base-pairing at the 3rd anti-codon position. Lineage: Bacteria; Candidatus Babeliae; Candidatus Babeliales. The record is from RNAcentral.
GCUGGCGUAGCUCAAUGGUAGAGCAACUGAUUUGUAAUCAGUAGGUUGCCGGUUCAAGUCCAGUCGCCAGCUCCA